CACCUUCUCGCAGAGGCUCUUGACCUGGGACUCGGACAGCUGCUUGCACUCGUUCAGCUGCUCGAUCCA
RNAcentral lists this microRNA precursor (69 nucleotides) under Callithrix jacchus (white-tufted-ear marmoset). RNAcentral's name for it is "miRNA (ENSCJAG00000037067.4)". The record is from RNAcentral. Lineage: Eukaryota; Metazoa; Chordata; Mammalia; Primates; Cebidae.